RNAcentral lists this ribosomal RNA (318 nucleotides) under uncultured eukaryote. Its description in RNAcentral is "partial 18S ribosomal RNA". It matches the Rfam family "Eukaryotic small subunit ribosomal RNA", at positions 1470 to 1796 of the family's 1831-position model. The record is from RNAcentral.
CCCUUAGAUGUCCUGGGCCGCACGCGUGCUACACUGACGCAUACAGCGAGCACUUUCCAGUUCCGAGAGGCUACUGGUAAUCAUCAAUAUGCGUCGUGAUGGGGAUAGAUCUUUGGAAUUCUGGAUCAUGAACGAGGAAUGCCUAGUAAUCGCAGGUCAUUAGCCUGCGAUGAUUAAGUCCCUGCCCUUUGUACACACCGCCCGUCGCUACUACCGAUUUCGAGUGGUCAGGUGAAUCUUUCGGACUGUGGGCGCCCUUGAGGUGUUCGCGGAAAGUCAGGUAAAUCUUAUCACUUAGAGGAAGUAAAAGUCGUAACA